RNAcentral lists this ribosomal RNA (378 nucleotides) under uncultured bacterium. RNAcentral's name for it is "bacterial SSU rRNA". It matches the Rfam family "Bacterial small subunit ribosomal RNA", at positions 29 to 407 of the family's 1533-position model. The record is from RNAcentral.
AAUGAACGCUGGCGGCGUGCUUCAGACAUGCAAGUCGUACGCGAAAGUCCGCAAGGAUGAGUAAAGUGGCGCACGGGUGAGUAAUACUUAGGUAAUGCGCCUUCUCGCUGAGAAUAACCAGGCGAAAGCUUGGCUAAUACUGAAUAAUCCGGCCGAAACUGCGGUUUCAGUCGGGAAAGUCGUAAGACGCGAGAAGAGUGGCCUGAGUCUCAUUAGCUAGUUGGAGGGUAAUGGCCUACCAAGGCAACGAUGGGUAGCUGGUCUGAGAGGACGAUCAGCCACACUGGAACUGGAACACGGUCCAGACUCCUACGGGAGGCAGCAGUAAGGAAUAUUGCGCAAUGGGCGAAAGCCUGACGCAGCGACGCCGCGGUGGGG